GGCUCGUUGGUUUAGGGGUAUGAUUCUCGCUUUGGGUGCGAGAGGUCCGGGUUCAAAUCCCGGAUGAGCCC
This 71-nucleotide transfer RNA is filed under the name Danionella translucida. It matches the Rfam family "tRNA". From Rfam's summary of the family: Transfer RNA (tRNA) molecules are approximately 80 nucleotides in length. Their secondary structure includes four short double-helical elements and three loops (D, anti-codon, and T loops). Lineage: Eukaryota; Metazoa; Chordata; Actinopteri; Cypriniformes; Danionidae. The record is from Rfam by way of RNAcentral. RNAcentral also lists the same sequence under 1 other name.